Juglans microcarpa x Juglans regia is the source of this 186-nucleotide long non-coding RNA. RefSeq lists it as uncharacterized. The transcript is spliced from 2 exons. NCBI's taxonomy places the organism in Eukaryota, Viridiplantae, Streptophyta, Magnoliopsida, Fagales, Juglandaceae. The record is from RefSeq and is a predicted model, not a curated record.
UAAAAUACGAGGAUAAAAAAAUAAAAUCACAUAUUUUUAAGUAAAGUGUACAAGAAUGCGAGGCUUACCGCGUAUGUCUAGAAUUUUUCAUAAAAAAUGGGCUAAAAAUCAAAAGCUACAAGCCCAUAAUUGUUUUUAAUUAGGUAUCAUGUCAAAAGCAAUUUAACGUUUCAUGACCCAAUAAUA